RNAcentral lists this ribosomal RNA (440 nucleotides) under uncultured bacterium. RNAcentral describes it as "partial 16S ribosomal RNA". It matches the Rfam family "Bacterial small subunit ribosomal RNA", at positions 338 to 795 of the family's 1533-position model. The record is from RNAcentral.
CCUACGGGUGGCAGCAGUGGGGAAUAUUGCACAAUGGGGGAAACCCUGAUGCAGCGACGCCGCGUGAAGGAAGAAGUAUUUCGGUAUGUAAACUUCUAUCAGCAGGGAAGAAAAUGACGGUACCUGACUAAGAAGCCCCGGCUAACUACGUGCCAGCAGCCGCGGUAAUACGUAGGGGGCAAGCGUUAUCCGGAUUUACUGGGUGUAAAGGGAGCGUAGGCGGCUUUGUAAGCCAGAAGUGAAAGCCCGAGGCUCAACUACGGGACUGCUUUUGGAACUACAUGUCUAGAUUGCAGGAGAGGCAAGUGGAAUUCCUGGUGUAGCGGUGAAAUGCGUAGAUAUUAGGAGGAACACCAGUGGCGAAGGCGGCUUGCUGGACUGUAAAUGACGCUGAGGCUCGAAAGCGUGGGGAGCAAACAGGAUUAGAUACCCUGGUAGUC